This 219-nucleotide unclassified non-coding RNA is filed under the name air metagenome. Its description in RNAcentral is "partial contains small subunit ribosomal RNA, internal transcribed spacer 1, and 5.8S ribosomal RNA". The stretch from base 1 to 46 matches the Rfam family "Eukaryotic small subunit ribosomal RNA", at positions 1786 to 1831 of the family's 1831-position model. The record is from RNAcentral.
AAGUCGUAACAAGGUCUCCGUAGGUGAACCUGCGGAGGGAUCAUUACCAGAGAUGGUGGGCCCUCGCGCCCCCGUCCCCAACCCUUUGCUGACACAACCUCUUUGCCUCGGGGGCAGAGCGGCCGCCGCCGCCCCCGGAGGACCACCAAACUCUGUCUCUGUACGUCGGAGUCUUAAUGAAAUAAAUCAAAACUUUUAACAACGGAUCUCUUGGUUCUG